AUGAUGUAUGGCUGGGGCCAAGGGCCCAAGGGGCCCAUGCCUGGUGUAGAUGUACUCAUAGAUCUAGGCCUGGGGCUGAGGAGGCUGCCUGCAAGCCGCCACAUGGGGCUGUCUUUGCCCUUGCACCCCGGAGCCGCCCUCGGCGCUUCCCCUUGCUGCCUCGCUGAAUCCUUCAGUUGGAGUAUAGAUGUUGUAAAGAUGUUUAAGAGUAACAAGGAGGAGGGUAUGAUUAAAUACUCUUCUAUUUGGUUCCACAUCCCUCCCCUGCCAAAGCAACAUUUCUUCAUAUUUUACAAGCUCCUGCCUGAAUUUGUGAAAGACUGAUUCUGGAACUGUUUGCAGGCAAAACUGUGCUGAUAUCCUUUCAAAACUAUGUUUCAACAUAUUAUGAAGAUCUUCCAAUUCAAGCAGACGGAAUCUCAUGUUUUAGGUGCUGUAUGUCUUACUUAUUUGUUUUUAUUAUAUUAUGUAGUUGUAUUUCUUUUGAUGACUGUUACCCAUCAUGAGUGGUAAGUUUUUAUAUAAAGAAAUUAAUAAAACAUCUAUGUUCAGAGCAACAAGCAAGAAUAAAUAAUACACACACAUGUAUAUACAUAUCCAGUUUGAAUCUGGGGGUGGGAUGAGCUCCCGCUGUAGCCCCAGCUUCUGCCAAUCUAGCAGUUCGAAAACAUGCAAACGUGAGUAGAUCAAUAGGUACUGCUCUGGCGGGAAGGUAACAGUGUUCUAUGCAGCCAUGCCAGCCACAUAACCUUGGAGAUAUUUAUGGACAACGCCGGCUCUUCAGCUUAGAAAUUGAGAUGAGCACCAGUCCCCAGAGUCAGACACGACCAGACUUAAUCUCAGGGGAAAACCUUUACCUUUACUAUCCAGUAGCAGACAUAAUUAUAUCUUUCCUUCUAGGUUGGGGUUCCUAAACUUAAAUAUCCAAGUACAGAGGUCAUAUUAAUCUAAAUCUCACCUAAGUCCACUCCUGGAAUUGUUGAUGACUUUAUUGCAUGCACUUUGAAGCCAUCACACAAAUUUCCAUCUCUUCAAGCAAUCCAGUUUUGUUGGGAAGCAGCUUUUAUUAUAGCACCACUUACGGCAUUGCGCUCGGUAAAGUUGUAAGUUCAGCAGUGUUAUAAGAUGAACCUAUUCACCCAUGCAGACUAUUUGCCUUUGUUAUUGGUUUUUCCGUAUUACGCUUUAUUCAGACUUUAGCCAGGUAAUUUCACUGCUUUUAAGUCACAUGCGUUUGACCUGUAAUAAAGGAAUUUGGAAUGAGAUAACUCACUCCCCCCGCCACCAUUAUUCUCUUGAGGGCUGAGAAUAACUAUUAAAACACACUCAUACUUUAUAACACUGCACGAAUGACUGCUUUCUCAACCAAUACUUAUGCCAAACUGGAUUUUUACAGUGCACGGUUUGUCCAGAACUAAACUCUACUGGCAAGUGUACAAAAAUGAAAAGGCUUAGCAAGUUAUUACACUUAAAGUGAGAACAUUUAUAUUUCUAAAGCAAUAAGCAAUAUUCCUCAUUUUGAUUCCCAGUUCUCAUAUCCUAUACAGCCCUUUGCAGAAUAAGUACCUCCAUGUGUAAUAAAAUGUUCUCUCUACAGAUAUCUAGGCCCUCCAGUGUGAUU
This is a long non-coding RNA of Anolis carolinensis (green anole), 1621 nucleotides long. Lineage: Eukaryota; Metazoa; Chordata; Lepidosauria; Squamata; Anolidae. The record is from Ensembl.